Long non-coding RNA from Oreochromis niloticus (Nile tilapia), 7449 nucleotides. The record is from Ensembl. Lineage: Eukaryota; Metazoa; Chordata; Actinopteri; Cichliformes; Cichlidae.
AUGACAGAGCAGCCGGCUGUGGUGAGUGAAAGGGACACUUUUCCUGCUGCGUCAGAUUCAGUGACUGUGUUUUCUGGCGCUAUUUUUUGUGUGCCUUCUGACGCUAACAAUGAUUUUUCUGUCUCACCCAUGGCCAUUGCGCUUCAGACUUCCUUUUCUGAGCCUACGUUCAGAGUUAAUGACUGUGUUCACACUGUUUCUGAGCCUGGAGUUACUGAGUUUAGCAUUAUGAGUUUAGAGAAUGAAAAUGUUUGGGACUCUUUUUCAUCUGCACUGGUCAAUUCAGGGGAAGCUGUAGACCUCACUGAAACAGAGCUUCCUGACCAUAUUCCCCCAUCCACACCUUCACCACAAUUCAAUGUGGGGUCUGUAACACAGUUAGCAGUACAGUUAGCAGUUCAGUCAGCAGGCCAGCUGCCCUCAGUUCAGUCAGCAGGCCAGCUGCCCUCAGUUCAGUCAGCAGGCCAGCUGCCCUCAGUUCAGUCAGCAGGCCAGCUGCCCUCAGUUCAGUCAGCAGGCCAGCUGCCCUCAGUUCAGUCAGCAGGCCAGCUGCCCUCAGUUCUGUUGGCCUCUCCACCACCUAUUACGCCUUCACUACAGUCGUCUCCGCUACCUGUAGGUCAGUCUGUAGUCGCUCCGCUGCCUAUAGCUCAGCUGCCACUUGUUCAUCUGUCUGCUCACUCACUCAUUCAGUCACCAUCCUCACCGUCUCGUUACGAGCAGGGAACACACUUCACCACGACAUCUGCUGGUUCUCUUAAGCUGGUCACCUCAGAGACAGUUGCUCCCUCUAGGGCCUCCCCAGAGGCUGGGUGUCACUCACCAGCUGACUCUGGACCCCUAGAGGUCAAGACGCCAGCGCCAGCAGUUUCACUGGGGAACUCACCAGAGCAGUCUCGGCUCUCAGCGCCCCCUGAGAGCUCAAGUGAUUUCACCCGUCCGCCUCCGUCCUCUGCUGAGUGUAUUGGGGAACACUUUCAGCCCUCUGAGGACUGCAUCCCACUGUUGCUGCCUGAGUCUAGCCACUGUGCUGCUCAGUUCCAGCCAGUGUCCACACCGGCAGAGGUCUGCGUACCUGCUGCCUCAGUGUCUGUUUCCGCUGGAGGGCCCGAGUCGCUCGUCCAGCCUCAAGUUUCGUUAGCUGGGGGUUUGGGAGAACCCAGCCAGCAUCCUGCCUCGUCGGCUGGAGGGCCUGAGGAGCCCGUCCAGCCUCAAGUUUCGUCUGCUGGGGGUUCGGGAGAGCCCAGCCAGCUUCAAGUUUCGUCUGCUGGGGGUUCGGGAGAGCCCAGCCAGCUUCAAGUUUCGUCUGCUGGGGGUUCGGGAGAGCCCAGCCAGCUUCAAGUUCCGUCUGCUGGGGGUUCAGGUGAACCCAGACAGCAUCCUGCCUCGUCAGCUGGGGGUUCGGAGGAGCCCAGCCAGCUUCAAGUGUCGUCAGCUGGGGGUUCGGGAGAGCCCAGCCAGCUUCAAGUUCCGUCUGCUGGGGGUUCAGGUGAACCCAGACAGCAUCCUGCCUCGUCGGCUGGGGGUUCGGAGGAACCCAGCCAGCAUCAAGUGUCGUCUGCUGGGGGUUCAGGUGAACCCAGCCAGCCUCAAGUGUCGUCAGCUGGAGGGCCCGAGGAGCCCGUCCAGCCUUAUGCCACGUCUGCUGGAGGGUCCGAGGGGCCCGUUCAGCCUCCUGUCUCCGCUGGAGGGUCCGAGGGGCCCGUUCAGCCUCCUGUGUCGUCUGCUGGAGGGUCCGAGGGGCCCGUUCAGCCUCCUGUGUCGUCUGCUGGAGGGUCCGAGGGGCCCGUCCAGCCUCCUGUGUCGUCAGCUGGUGGGUCCGAGGAGCCCGUCCAGCACCACACCUCGUUAGCUGAGGGUCCUGGAGGACCCAGACAGCACAUCCUCUCGUCUGCUGGCGGUCCGGGGAGGGCUGUUCAGCCAUCACCGGCUAAAUCAUCCCCCGCGACAUCUACAUCUCCGCCUGCAGCAUCAUCAUCUCCGCCUGCAGCCGCAGCAUCAUCAUCUCCGCCUGCAGCCGCAGCAUCAUCAUCUCCGCCUGCAGCCGCAGCUUCAUCAUCUCCGCCUGCAGCCGCAGCUUCAUCAUCUCCGCCUGCAGCCGCAGCUUCAUCAUCUCCGCCUGCAGCCGCAGCUUCAUCCGCAGCCGCAGCUUCAUCCACGCCUGCAGCCGUCCCGCUGCCGUCAGGUUCCGCAGCCGUCCCGCUGCCGUCAGGUUCCGCAGCCGUCCCGCUGCCGUCAGGUUCCGCAGCCGUCCCGCUGCCGUCAGGUCCGGCCCCCGUGUCUUCAUCCACGCCUGCAGCAUCAUCGCCUGCAGCCGUCUCGCUGCCGUCAGGUUCCGCAGCCGUCUCGCUGCCGUCAGGUUCCGCAGCCGUCUCGCUGCCGUCAGGUUCCGCAGCCGUCUCGCUGCCGUCAGGUUCCGCAGCCGCUCCGCCGUCGCCUGGUCCUGCCUCGUCGGCUUCGUCCACGCCUUCGUCCUCGCCAGGUCCGGCUUCGUCCACGCCUUCGUCCACGCCUGGCCCGGCUUCGUCCACGCCUUCGUCCACGCCUGGCCCGGCUUCGUCCACGCCUUCGUCCUCGCCAGGUCCGGCUUCGUCUGGUCCUGACUUGUCCACGUCUGGCCCUGCCUCGUCUGGUCCUGCGGUUGCUACACCGUCAUGGGACCCAGCUCGUCCUGUUCCGCCUCCCCUCUGCCGGCCGUUUUCCAGGCCUCUAAGUUGGCGUCAUGGCCGUCGAGGUCGGCCUCCGGAGGGAGAUCGUCGCCGCUGCUGGCAUUGCAGCCGACCUCCGGAUCUGCUCAGUGGCCGCCGUUGCCGUGUGCACGGUCGGCCUCCGGAACUGUUUGCCCGUUGCCGUGUGCACGGUCGGCCCCCGGAACUGUUUUCCCGUCGCCGCCAUUGCCGUCCGCACGGCCGGCCCCCUGACCUGUUUUGGCUCCUGUGUGGCCGACCCCCGGGUCGACCUCCUGAACUGUUUAUGGACUCUUGUUGAGCUUUGGUUUUUGUAUUUUCCUGUGCUUUGGGACUGUUUUCUUGUGUUUUUGAACUGUCUUGCUCCUUGUUUUUUGUUUGGUUUCUUUCCCUCCGUCCUUGACCCCCUCCACCCGCCCUGGUCUGGUGCUUUGUUGUGGUUUUUCGUUUAGGGCUGUCGGGAGCCAGCCCUUAGAGGGGGGUACUGUCACGGUUCUGGGUCCGUUGGACCCAGUAUUUUGAGUUUAUUAUGCUUUGGUUUAUUUUGCAUCUGGGAUUGUUUUAUUGUUCUCUUGUUGUGGUGAUGAUUAUGAUGUCUAUUAGUUUCAUGUUUCUGUUUAUUUGUGUUUAAGGAAUGGUUCUUAGUUGUAUCUCACGUUUAGUUUAGUUCAGGUUCCAUGUGUCAUUUUCCAUGUGUCUCUCAGUGUCGGGUCUGCGUCUUUGUGUAGUGUUCUUGUUUCCUGUUUUAUUGUGAAGGUCUGCGUCUCAUGUGAGUGUGUUCAGUUUUACCUCUGUCUCGUCUUGUUAAUUACUCCCAGCUGUGUCCACCACCUGUGUGUAAUCUCCCUGUGUUUCUCUGUGUGUAUUUAAGUCACGUCUUUAGUCAUUGUUGUUGCUGGUCCGUCUGCGUAUCCACCCUGUUUCAUUCUGUGUGUUUCCCUGCCGUCUUCCAUCAUUCCGUCUCCUGCUAUUCGUGUUCAGGUUUGUGCUCUUGUUCAGGCUCCGUAGUUUAGUUUACCCAGUAUAGUUCAGUUCUCCGUUUGCUGUUUGUCCAUUUCCUUUGUGUUUAAUAAACCACCCUCUCACCGGUACAAGUGCCUGCGUUUGGAUCCUCCUUUAAUUUCCACACGGCCCCUCUCACUCGCCGUGACAGCCCCAGGGACAGUGCAGAGUGUACACUAUGAACAUUUCUGUCUAAAAAGACACUGUUAGUAUGUUUGAUCAAUAGUGUGCUGCGUACAUGCUUUCCCCCUGGUGAAUGUGAGGAAGAGUUGCUUACCUGCACCUCCAGAUUGUUAUUUAUGCUGAUGACUCAAGAACCAGUUGCAUCAGGAUGUGUCCUCACUGGAGUCUUUGGGUUAGCUGUUCCACAUCUAGGGAUACUUCUUGUUGGGGGGAUCUCAUGUGAGAGUUUGCCCAAGUACUUAAGGACUUGAAGAAGCGUAUCACUGCAUCCAUCAGACUCUCUUAUGGGGAUCCUUUGGGAGUGCUUAGUGAGGGCUUGGUUCACAUUGCCAGCAAUGAGUUAGAUUUGUUGCCACUGAGCCAGCCUAGUGUCUGUGAUUUAUCAUAUGAAUACAAGUUCUUGGCUUAGCUAACAGAAUAUCCAGUUCUGGGUAUUGGGCUUGCGUUUAGUAGAUGAUGUGGUCCUGUUGGCUUCACUGGGCAGCGAACCUCAGGUUCCAUAGGGGCAGAGUCACUACUACAUUUCAAACUAGGGUUCAUCGCUAGGAAAGACUGGAUUGCCUGCCUCAAGUGGAUGUGUUUUAAGUGUCUUGUGGCCUUGAGGAAAAAGUGGGCUGUGAGGUUGAUGGAUGUUGCAACAUCUCCAGUGAUGUGGUAUCAUGUAUGUAUCAUGGUCAGUACACAUAAACAAAACAGUGAAGAAGGCGCAGCAGCGCCUCUUCUUUCUCAGGAGACUGAAAAGAUUUGGCAUGAGCCCCCGCAUCCUCAGGACCUUCUAUCGCUGUGCCAUUGAGAGCAUCCUCACUGGAUGCAUCACCACCUGGAAUGGCAACAGCACCGCUUACAACCGCAAAGCUCUCCAGAGAGUGGUGCGGUGCUCUGAACGGAUAAUUGGAGGUGAGCUUCCCUCCCUCCAGGACAUCUACAGGAAGCGGUGCCUGAGGAAAGCAGGGAGGAUCAUCAAGGACUCCAGUCACCCCAGCCAUAAACUCUUCAGACUACUUCCAUCAGGAAGGAGGUUCUGCAGCAUCCGGUCCUGUACCAGCAGACUGAGAGACAGCUUUUUCCACCAGGCCAUCAGACUGCUGAACACGUCAUAGACACCUCACCUUCACUACUGGAACUUCAACAUUAUGCACUCCACACUGUACAUUAAUGCCACUGUUUUGCACAUACCAACCUCUGUACAUUUUAUAUAUCUUAUUUUAUUGUUUACUCUAUUUCAUUUGUAAAAUAUGUAUAUACACACUCACUCACUCACACACACACACACACACACACACACACACACACACACACACACACACACACACACACACACACACGUAGAAAAACAUAUUUAGUAUACACAUCCAAUAAUGCAUAUACUCUUAUUGUACAUAUAUUUAUUACUUUCAGAUUUAGCCAUUCUUAUAUUUUUGCUUGUUUUACGUUAUUGUAUUUUUGCACAACUCUGUUGCUUGAGAAGCUCGCACACAAGAAUUUCACUCGCAUGUACUGUACCAGUGUACCUGCACAUGUGACAUGACAAUAAAAGUGAUUUGAUUUGAUUUGAUGUAGAGUGCAGAUGUGGACCCAGAUACAGACUGGUUUGCAGAGUUAAAAAAACAAAAACACAAACCUUUAUUUAGAUAAAUGGAAAGUCCGACAAACUCAAACCAGAAGACACAGACAGGAAGAACCACAGCGAACAAACAGCGCGACCCAACAAAGGACGGAGACAAACCGAGACCUAACACACACGAAUGAGGCAAUCAGGGGAAUUGGACAUGAUACAGUUGUAACUAAUGAAAUGAAACAUGGAAAUAAACUGAAUACAAAGCACAGGAACACGUGACUAUCAAAAUAAUAUGGAAGGUAAUAAACAAGCAACAAUAACAGAGAGAUGGAGACUUAAUUAAAAACAGGGAAGGCAGGAAAAACAAAAAUAACAACAAACUACAACCAUGAACAUAACCAGAUUACAAACUGACAGGGUGACUAUAAACAACAAAUGUAACCUACAAAACAGAUAAAACCAAAGUUUUAAUACCUGAAAAGGAAACUUAAGAAACAAGCUAUGUAAUAAUACACAAACUGGAAGGAUCAGAAAAGAGAAUCAGUAACACAGGGUAACAGACCCAGGACCAUUAAUAUUAAUUUAGAUAAAUAUAUUCAUAUAUUAAACUGGACUGCAUGGUCUCUGCUCUUUUUCCCUCCGCGAUCUACUUCCGUGGCCCAACUGCUGGUUAUGCAACAAAUAUGCAGAAAACUAAGAAAUGACAAAGGAUGCAGAUACUUUUUGAUGGCGCUAUAACCGUGAGGAGUGAAAGAGUGGAACAGAAACCGAAUUGCUCGAUUCAUUGUGGGAAGUUCCCCCAACAGCCUCAGACUCUAAUAACAUAACCAAGAGAUGGUUCAGAGUCUAUGAGGUGUAUGCUGUAUCAAAAAGGACAGCUUUAAGCCUAAUCCUUAAAUUAGAGACAUGUCUGCCUCCACAAUCCAAACUGGAAGCUGGUUCCACAGGAGAAGAUCCUCACAGCUGAAUUCUCUCUUAUUGCAAUUGAUUUUUCACAUGCAUCUCUCAGUCCUCCAUAGCUCGUCUCCAUAGCUCGUCUCCAGCUGAUGCAGGACACAGCAGCAAGGCUGCUAAUGGAAUGACUGGAGGAUUUUAUGGGUUAGGCUUUCUUUAAUCUUCUCCCCUUUAUUUUUGGCCAUAGUUUGCAACAAUGCAUGCAUGCAUGUGUGCAUGUUGGAACCAGUGUCUGUUGUUAUAGCUGAUUGUGUGUCUGUAUGUUUUAAAAUGUACACUAACAUGUUUUUUUUCUUACCCCAUUAUUUGAAACCUGGUUCCAUAUUACUCGAACAUUCACUGUAACAUUAUAUCCACUGUACCACAGAUCUGCUCCAUCUCACCACUGGUCGUCCAGACUCUCUUUUCUCUGGAGGAAACCUUUGCAAUUGGUUAUGGCUACGUUCCAAACACAUGGACAUGGAAUUGCAGCCAUGCCCGUGUGAGGAAAAGCUGCUGUCGUUCUUUGGGGUUUUCUGGAGUAGUCCUGGGAGGAAAGAUUUUAAGCAUUAGCUCUAAGCACUGUCUCAGCUCUGUCAAAAAUAACCUACUGCAGAGCAUGCUAGUGUAUAGCACAAGUUACCAUGGUGAUGUACCCUGAUAAGAAGCGACCCACUGUUGUGACACUGAAGGUCUAAAUUUGAACUUACCUCACUAACCACAUAUGAGUAAAUGAUAAUCACAGAUGAGCUCGCUGGAUGUUUGGGGGCGGGGGGGGGGGGGGGGCAGGAGGACAAGCACUGCUUGGUAAGAACAUGAAUCAUUGAAAAUGAGGGUUGGCACACACUCUGCACUGUCUAACAGCUUUGGCCUUGAUAGAAUGAGAAGCCUAAAGGAAACACACGCUUUGUAUCUCACUUGAAACUGUGGGAGAGAGAAGACAAAAUCCACACACAGCCAGUAAACACAGUGUGCCAGUAUAGGUGCCACAGCUGUAUGCUGGCUGAGAGGAUGGUGUCAUGCUGCCACGACAGGGCUGGAGCCCAGACCUGUGCCUCCAACACCUCAGGGACCACUGGCUGCACA